Long non-coding RNA from Myxocyprinus asiaticus (Chinese sucker), 1793 nucleotides. RefSeq lists it as uncharacterized. The record is from RefSeq and is a predicted model, not a curated record. NCBI's taxonomy places the organism in Eukaryota, Metazoa, Chordata, Actinopteri, Cypriniformes, Catostomidae. The transcript is spliced from 3 exons.
AGAUUACGUACAUUCCUCUUCCUCCUUUCGCUCCCUUUCAGUACAAUCAGUACGUUGGCUGAAGAGUGAUCUUGUCCUCUGGUGAUCUAUAUCACAGUUCACAUACUCUGUAUAUUCCCAUCAAGAGAAGUGUUUCAGACCAGAUUCCAGGUGAUCCAGAACCAUCCAGAAUGAAAUAUGAAGAUAUUGAGGAACAAAGAGAUCUGACCGAAGUGAAAGAGGGACGUCAAGACCUGAAUUAAGUGGAGGAGAAACAUUAUAACGUCAUAUGAGAAGAAAAACGUUUUAGCUGCUCACAGAUGGAAAAUAAUUUCUCACAGAACAGAACUCAAACAACAAGAGCUAAAAAAACGUUCACCUGCCCUCAGUGUGGAAAAAGUGUCACGCAUAAAGGAACCUUUGUAAAACACCUAAGAGUUCAUACUGGAGAGAAGCCUUACACAUGCCCUCAGUGUGGUAAAAGUUUCCCGCAUAUAGGAGACCUUAAUAGACACCUAAGAGCUCAUACUGGAGAGAGGCCUUAUACAUGUCAUCAGUGUGGGAAGAGUUUCAUACGUAAAGACACCCUUAAUGUACACUUGAGAAGACAUUCUUGAGAGGAGCAUUUCACAUGCCCUCAUUGUGGAAAGACAUUCUCACAUUCAUACAGACUCACUUUCCAUCUGCGCUGUCACUCUGGUGGAAAGCCAUUCUGCUGUGAUCAGUGUGGUAAAACAUUUAUGUCUGCAUCAGUGCUAAAAGGCCACCUGAAAGUCCAUAUGAAAUAAAAGCCUUACUUGUGUUCUUUGUGAGGAAAGAGUUUUUUAUGGGUGAGCCAUUGGAAGGAACACCAGAAAGUACAUAUUGGUGUGAGAGAUCAUGUGUGCUCGGAGUGUGGGAAGGCCUAUAUUAAGGUUUCUCAAUUGAAAUAUCACCAAAGAAUACAAACUGAAGAAAAACCUUACAAGUGCUCACAUUGUGACACAAGAUUUAUUAAGUUAUGGCAAUUGAGAAAACAUGAGAGAGUGCAUACUGGAGAGAAAAAGUGUUGGCGGAGUGAGUAAAGAAUUUCAGUUGUGUUGUGGCUUGGCCGGGUGUAAAGGCCCCGGCAUUCUCACAGCGAAGUGCUUCUUUGCUCAGAGCGAAAAUAAGUUCUGAACAGCUGAGCAACGACAUAAUGCUCGUGAACAUUUAGACACUGGCCACAUUGCUGGGGGUGGCGUUUAGAGGAUCAUUUAAACAUGAGGACGCAAUAAGACUACAUGCAAAACCUUGACUAAUGUGACAUUAAAAUGUGUUAUUAAUAACUUCAUGCCUCAUUCUAUGAGUACAAUUCACACAAGAUCAGUCAAAGAAGCUGUUUUAACCAUUUGAUGAUGAUUUAAAGUAAUAUGCCCUAGAUAAUGUGUAAUUUGUCAUGUUUACAUCCUGCAUUUGUGGAGUUAAUGCACUAACAUGCAAUGCACAGCAAUGUUGACAGAUCUUGACUGACUGACGAAUGUUAACGCAAUCAGUGGUUGGCCUCAAAGUAGGUGUAGCUCCAGGUCGAGGACCAAUGGCAGUAAGAAGGUGUUUAGCAGCCAAUAUGAAGUUUUCCUUAAAGUUUGCACUGGCUAGCUAUUAUGAAUCAUUCAACUCAAAAACACCUUUGUUUUGGCUAGAUUUAGUUUGAAAUGACGUAACACCCCUUUGUUCUUCAAUUUCAUAUGAAGUAUGGUGGCAUGUAAAUGUAAUGUAGUAACCCCCCCCCCCAAGAAACUUCUGAUGCCCCCACCUGGACUGACGGCAAAACUGUCAUUGUUGCCCCCCCACCC